GGCUGGGUAGCUCAGUGGAUUGAGAGCAAGCCUAGAUGUGGGAGGUCCUAGGUUCGAAUCCAGCCUCAGCCA
Molecule: transfer RNA, 72 nt
Organism: Monodelphis domestica (gray short-tailed opossum)
Lineage: Eukaryota; Metazoa; Chordata; Mammalia; Didelphimorphia; Didelphidae
Rfam family: tRNA
About the family: Transfer RNA (tRNA) molecules are approximately 80 nucleotides in length. Their secondary structure includes four short double-helical elements and three loops (D, anti-codon, and T loops).
Source: Rfam